UGGCUUAAAUGUAGAGUGCAUUUUUAGAGAUAGAAAUUCCCUUCGGGGCUUUCUGCAAGGUGCUGCAUGGUUGUCGCCAGCUCGUGCCGUGAGGUGUCGGGUUAAGUCCCAUAACGAGCGCAACCCUUAUCGUUAGUUGCCAUCUGGUAAUGCAGGGGACUCUAGCGAAACUGCCACCGUAAGGUGAGAGGAAGUGGGAUGACGUCAAAUCAGCACGGCCCUUAUGUCCAGGGCUACACACGUGUUACAAUGGUCGGUACAGAGGGCAGCUACCUGGUGACAGGAUGCUAAUCUCGAAAACCGGUCUCAGUUCGGAUCGAAGUCUGCAACUCGACUUCGUGAAGCUGGAUUCGCUAGUAAUCGCGCAUCAGCUAUGGCGCGGUGAAUACGUUCCCGGGCCUU
This 402-nucleotide ribosomal RNA is filed under the name uncultured Sphingobacteriales bacterium. Its description in RNAcentral is "bacterial SSU rRNA". It matches the Rfam family "Bacterial small subunit ribosomal RNA", at positions 977 to 1382 of the family's 1533-position model. Lineage: Bacteria; Pseudomonadati; Bacteroidota; Sphingobacteriia; Sphingobacteriales. The record is from RNAcentral.